Molecule: long non-coding RNA, 374 nt
Organism: Drosophila innubila
Lineage: Eukaryota; Metazoa; Arthropoda; Insecta; Diptera; Drosophilidae
Exons: 2
Source: RefSeq, a predicted model, not a curated record
CACGUUAUUGUGUUGCUUGCUUUUAUGUAUUGUAUUGUUAUAAUGCCCGCUUACCCGUCUGGCCGUAGGCGAAUAUGCAUGCAUUAUAGCCCUGAAAUGCAUUAUCCAGUAUAUCACGUCCCACGCAAUCGAAGACCGUCUCCUGUGAUGCAAAGCUGUCAUCCUCUGGGUUUAGCGAGUAGAAGCAAUGAUCGAAUGCAAAUGCCUUUGGUUGUUUUCUGCGUGAAUCAAACUUACCUUUCCAUUUUCUCCAGUGACGGUGGAUUUUGGAGUAUCGUUUGCUGUUUUUCCAUUUCCACGAUGCAUUUUGUACCCAAUUCGAUUUCUGUAAACAGAAUAAAGGAUGCAAAAAUAUAUUAGUGUAAAGCAUAUGA